UACGGGGGGGGCAAGCGUUGUUCGGAAUUACUGGGCGUAAAGGGCUCGUAGGCGGCCAACUAAGUCCGACGUGAAAUCCCCAGGCUUAACCUGGGAACUGCGUCGGAUACUGGAUGGCUUGAAUCCGGGAGAGGGAUGCGGAAUUCCAGGUGUAGCGGUGAAAUGCGUAGAUAUCUGGAGGAACACCGGUGGCGAAGGCGUCAUCCUGGACCGGCAUUGACGCUGAGGAGCGAAAGCCAGGGGAGCAAACGGG
Molecule: ribosomal RNA, 253 nt
Filed under: uncultured bacterium
Lineage: Bacteria
Description: partial 16S ribosomal RNA
Rfam family: Bacterial small subunit ribosomal RNA
Source: RNAcentral